Molecule: RNA transcript, 1194 nt
Organism: Vigna unguiculata (cowpea)
Lineage: Eukaryota; Viridiplantae; Streptophyta; Magnoliopsida; Fabales; Fabaceae
Source: RefSeq, a predicted model, not a curated record
UCCAUGAUUCACACACACAAACACCCCUUUUCUCUCUCUCUCUCUCUCACUCUCUCUAACCAAUUAACUCAAUGACACGUUUCCAUCUCUAUAAAACCACACAUACCCACUUCACUAUCUCAUCAUAAGGUGCCCCUACCACCACGCUAGUUAGCUACCUCCACACUCUCACUCUUUGAGAGAUAGAAUCAGUAACAACAACCAAUGAUGGAGUCAGACUCGGAGAAGAAGUGUGAUCAUGUUCACGAACCAACCUACAAGCCGACAAAACUCCCUCUCUUAAUCUCGCGGCCAAGCAUAGCGCCGGGCACUCCUCCUCCGCCGUCGCCGCCGCAGACCACCAUUUCGGUUCCUUUCCAGUGGGAGGAAGCACCGGGGAAGCCCAGGCAUUCCCACACCGAAUCGGAGCCCGACAACAGUGUUAAAAAAACACUGGAGCUGCCUCCGAGGUUGUUGUUUUUGUUGGACACCAACGUGGACGGGCCUUCCCAUACAACCGUGUUGGAUGGGCCUUACGUGGGCCGAGCCGUCUCCUUCACCACCUCCUAUAGGACUCCCAGGGGUUACUGGAAUUCCAACUUUGGCUCCUCCAGAUGGAGCGGCUACAAGAAGAUUACCACCGACGACGGCGAGGGCAGUUUUGACUUUUCACCUCACUGUUCUUCCACUACAAUGCCAAACGUCAAGAUCACAAGGGUUCCCAGAAGAGGAACCUUCUGGACUCUGUCCAAGCAAAGGUCACAGUUGUGGAUAUCCCUGCUACUUGCGAUCGAGAAAUUCUUGUUGGCUAUGGGAAAAAAACAAAAAACAUUUUGAGAACAUCCCCAUCAUAAUACUUUUGAAGAUCUCGAAAAUCAUACAAGUCAAUGAUGACAGGCAAGCAUUUAUGAAAGCUUUAAGCAAGUGGUCCCAUGGAAACGCAAGCAACAAACGCAGAAAAAAUGUGCUUCCAAAUUCGACACUGUUUGAUCUUUUAGAUUUUUACUCCUGUCAAAUGUACUUAUUCCACAAAUUAUAUCCUUCUCACAAAAAAAUGCUAUUUAUGUAUAAAUAAAAAAAAAAUAUUUUACAUGUUGCACUCCUAUCUCGCACCGUAGCGUAUGGUCAAACAGUUUGUAAAUAUAAUUUUGGUGGUAAACUUGUAUAUAUAUAAUUACAAAUAAUUACUGAAUUAUCAUGUUAUUGUACAGCCAU